GCCGGUAUAGCUCAGUCGGUAGAGCAUCUGAUUUGUAAUCAGAGGGUCGGGGGUUCGAAUCCCUCUGCCGGCACCA
RNAcentral lists this transfer RNA (76 nucleotides) under Nevskia sp. RNAcentral describes it as "tRNA-Thr". It matches the Rfam family "tRNA". From Rfam's summary of the family: Transfer RNA (tRNA) molecules are approximately 80 nucleotides in length. Their secondary structure includes four short double-helical elements and three loops (D, anti-codon, and T loops). Lineage: Bacteria; Pseudomonadati; Pseudomonadota; Gammaproteobacteria; Nevskiales; Nevskiaceae. The record is from RNAcentral.